UGAGAUUCUUAUCAUUCUCACAUUCUUGAAGAAAUUCCACCACGAACUUAAGUUCCAUUAUAUCGUACAUGAAGAAAGAAUCCAUAUAAGCCAUAAGCUCAUCAUAUCCACCAGGGUCAAAUGGAAAUUUGGAAAAAUCAUCAAAUGUAAUAAGUAGUGAAACAUAUUUCCAUUUUGAACAAUUAACAUCUUAUCACAUUUAUGGUCAAGGUAAGAAAUUCUAAAGAUGAGAAUAAAGUUACACCUUUUGAAGUUGAUAUUCAUAACUAAAUAUACCUUCUUUGGAUUGAAAUUUGUGGCAAACAAUAUGUUACUUUGUAUUUGUAAAGGCUUCAAAUAAAGUUGAGUCUUAUGAACAUUAUCUUCAUUACAAACAAAUGGUGACUCAAUAAUUUUCUUACAAGUUUCCUUUUGAGAAAUAUUUGACCAAUCACCUUCAAGUACUAACAUUGUUUCAUUCACUUCACUCUAUUGUUUAAAGAGACUUUCAUUUUUAUCAUCAUUUUUCUCUUUGCUUUCAAAGUCAAUGUAUUAAUGACAUUCCUUCUUUAAAGACACUUCUUCAAGCACUUGCGCAAAAGAAUUAUCAAAGUUAGAUAAAUAGUUGUAGUCAAUAUCUUUCUCUUUAUCUCUCAAAUGUUUUUCAUCUUCUUCUUUCUCUCUCAAGGCUAAUUUAUCUUUUUCCUCUUUCUAUUUCUUUUCUUUGAUUUUCUCUUUCUCUCUCAAGGCUAGUUUCUCUCUGCAUACCUAUUUUCAUAAAGAUACUCGACAUACUCUGGAUCCAAUACAAAAUUUCUAAUAUAUUCAUGAUAUGAUAUACUUCUCUUUUUUUCUUGAUCCUCAUUUUUAUAUUAUACAUGACUUUUCUAUUUUGCAUACCUUGUAUCAUUCUCAUCAUAAUCUUCACAUCUUCUUUCUUUUUCUCUAAAUCUCUUCUCAUGCUUCAUUUCCUUCUCAUCAUAAUAUUUAUAUCUUCUUCUCUCCUUAUGAAAUCUAUGUCUAAUUUUUUCCCUCGAUUUUGAAUCCAUCUUCAUUUUGAGAAGAUCUUCCAUGAUGAGAUCUCUUAUCUCUUUGAUUUAUAAGCCCUUCUCUCAAGGCAUUUAUUUGAGUAUUCUAAAUUUUUGCAAAAUGAUCCAUAAGAAACACGGUUCUAGAAGAAGGAGGAUUUGGUUCACUUCCACUCCUGAUGUCAACAACAACAACAAGUACCACAAUAAUCAAGUAAAUGACAAGAACUCGUUAAGGAAAUAAAAAUAAAGCCUUCACCACUCAUUAAGUGUUUGCACUCAAGAAAUGUAAUACUCGUGCAUAUCACUCAAUGAUGGUUUUUUUUUUUAAUGACGUGCACUCUUGUCUUUUUCCACUCAAACUCCUCUUUCAAAUUCUUAAAAAGAAACAAAUCAACAAUUCAAACACAAUGUAACAAAUCCACACAUGCUAUCACUACAAGAGUUUCAAGAAGGAAAACACUAAGACAAAACUUAGAGAAUUUAAAAUGAGGAACAAGAAAAACUAAGUAUAUGGAGACACAACCAAGUAGAUUAUCAAAGAAAUAAAAAAGAUUAUAACUAAAUGACUAAGUGAUAUAAAUAUGCGAGUUGACAAAUAUGUGAGGAGUAAAUUACUAAGAUAAAACAUGCAAUUCCUAAUAAAGACAAUAGUGAUUGAUGUAUCAAAGUGAACCAAUUCUGGAUUUUUUUUAAAAUGCCUUUUUUUCAAUAAGGGCUUAUGUACAAAAUCACUUUUUCAAAGAUCUUAUCUGUUCGGAUUGUUCUCUACAUAUUUGAAUUCUUCUCAUUUUUCUAAUCAAUUUAGGCUUUUGAAUUUUCAGAAUCGGACACGUAUGGAAGAAAUAACAUUAAAAACGAAUUUACAAAUGAAAUUUUGGAUCAAAGAGAGUUGUAAGUGAAGAUGAUGAUGCAAUGCAUAAAAAAUUUCUGCGAAUUUUUUUUUCCAGCAACUCAAGAUUUUGAAUUUCACACCAAAUGAAGCAAACAAUCGUCAAAUUAAACCUUUUCACACAUAUUAUAACACUUAUAAUCAAUUAGCAACUCAAGAUUACACAAAAACAAAUAUCAAGUUUCAAGAAAUUAACCUACAACUUCAAAUUUUCCAAGGACUUCAAAAUCUUAAAAACAAAUAUUAAUAACAAAUAUUACCACUUGGUGACAAACUCUGAAUACCAAGUGAUGUGGAUUUGAGUACUUUCACAUGAGAUUGAAGAUCUACCCAAAUAGUUUCUUCAAAUAAAAUGACAAAAAAAUAAGGAAAAAUAAAGAAACAAAAAUGGAUUAGGUUGAGAAUAUGAAGAAGGCGCCACAAUCAAGGAUGGUUGAUAAGCCAAUGAAGAAUCGUCACAAUGGUAAGAAAGUCAUUGAAUAGAUUCAAGCAAGUUAUAAUUCAAGAACUUAAAGAGGAGACAUAACUCACUCACAAUUCUCAUUAGAGAAAUUCUAAUUCAUUCAAACUUUUUUUAAUGAGGUUAAAAAUUCAUAUUUAUAGUAAAAUCAUCUCUAAACCUAAAUGGAGUCAUAAGUGACACCAUUCUCUUUGCCCAAAUUAGGCUUACAUCAUAUUUUUCUAAAAUAAACUAAAUAUAAGGAAGCAAAGUAUCUUCACUUACAUAUAACAUCAACUAAAUCUAUAUUAAAACUAUUACAAUUCCAAAUUAAAACAAACUAAGAAUUAUUAUAAAUCAAAUAAAAAUAAAAUUCAUCCUAAUUUAUUAAAAUAUGGAUCAUCCUCAUGCUCUUGAGAUCUUUAUCACAAGGUACCAUUUUAUUAGAGAAUGCGUUGCCAAGAAGAAAGUUGAGCUUAAAUAUGUGAAAAAUCAAGAUUAAGUUGUAGAUAUUUUUACAAAACCAUUAAAAUUUGGAGACUUUCAAAGGCUAAGAGCAAAACUUGGAAUGAAGAAGAAAAUUUCAAAUUAAGGGGGAGCAAUGUUAUUACUAAUUUUAAAUUAGAUAAGUCUAGAACCAUAUAAAAUUUCUAUGUAAUAAUCUAGAAGUGCUUUAGUUACAGAAAAAUAUGGGAAGUAUCUAGAAAUGAGUAUUAAUUAGGAAGCUCCUAAAAAUGUGUCUAGAGUUAUCUAUUUGUACCUAUAAAUACCUCUUAUACUUGACAUCAUCAAGCAAAUUGUGAGUUUUCUAUUAGAAAUAUUUUCCUUCUUCUAAUCAAAGACUGGUGGUGCAUAAGAUGGAGUUAGAGGAAAAACCAAAGAAUUUUGGAUUUCACUGAGCGUUGGACACAAGCGAUGGAGACAUUGUCUUUCCGCUGUGUGGAGGCAAUACUAGAUGGAUGAUGACACUAUAAACUUGUUUGGAACUCUUUAUUCCAACCAUAUUAGAGUAGUUCAUAUUGAAUUAAGUUGAAAAACUGGAGGGAGUGUCCCUAAAGAUGACACCAAAUGAUCUGAGGUAGGAUAAGUUGUUGAGGCAAAACCUCUAAUUAUUAUUUUGAAGAUGAUGACUCUUCAUCAUAUGCAUAUUUUCCCACUAUAUUAGUCUUAUUUAUCCUCAAUCAUCAGUUAAAUUAAGGAUUUAUUUGAUACAUUUUGUUGAUUUUUGUUCUUUGAGUUAAUAAAAUGUUUUUUAUUUUUAUUUCGUUGAUUAAGUAGGAAUUUGUCGUAAUUUUACAUUGCGUUUUGUUUUAGUGCAGUGCUGAAUUUUGGUGAAAAAUCAACAUGAUAUAUGUGGAGUAUUUCAGCUAUAUCUGGAGUUCUAGAUGUCCAAUUAGUGUCACUCCAAGUGCUAAUGAACGCUAAGAUCCAUAUCUACAACUUGCAUGAAGACACCUGGACCAAAUUCAGACGCAAAAGAUGAGAAAAAUGCAAAAUACAUCAGACAGCAGAUGCUGAGUGCUGGAGCGCGCCCAAGCGCAAGCCAAGCGCUUUUUCCAGCAUAUGCUACUGCCCAAACGCGCUGAAGCGCGUCCAAGCGCGCCUGGGCGCGCGACCCGCACCAGCAACCAUAAAAACGCAUAUUUUUACUAUUUUAGGGAUCUUUUUGACUAUUGGGAAGUUGGAAGACUCUUGCCCUAGCAUAGAAACUCAAAGACGGCCGUUUCUGACGCCAUUGGAGCAGUUUUAUCAAGAAUCAUUCAUGAAUCCUUCUUGUAAUUCUUCUCUAAUCUUUAUCUCUUUUAUUUCUGUCAUGAGUAACUAAACCCUAUUUGUUAGGGAUGAGUGUAACAAGAUGAAACCCUUAUUUUUAUGAUUUGAUUUCUAGUUAUAUGAAUGAGUUUAUUGAAUAAUUUUUCUCAUCUCCGUGCUUAAUGCUUUUUAUUGCUUGAUCAACAUUAAAAUGUUCUACGAUUUGUAUUUUGAAACGGAAGUGGACUUUACGAAUGCUUGAGAUGAGAAAUUCAUGAAUUUGUAGUCUAGACAUAGGUGCAGGUCAUGAAACCAAUUAAAUUAGUUGCAAAGCAAUAAUUUUCAAGAGAAUUUCUAUACGGUAAUGCUUAAUUCUAAUCUUAAAUCUACUAAGGAAUUAGGGGUUACUUUGGAAUUAAAGGUUAUGUCACUAAGACAUUAGGGCAAGAAUAAUAAAGACAAUUCGGUAAUAAUUCAAUAAAGGAUUUCAAUAACUAGGUUCAAAUUAGACACCAAGGUUGGAUUCGAAGUGAAACUCAUCCCUGACAUUUUUCUCAAUUUAUAAAGGAUCAAUUUUACUAUUGCUGUCAAUUCUAAAUAUUAUUUCAAUCAACUUGGGAACUUUUUGUUCAAUUUUAGUAACUAAAUAUAAUUCAAUAGUAAAACGCAAUCCUUGAGUUCGACACUCGGUACUACCGUUUUAUUAUUACUUGCAACGAUUCAGUACACUUACUGAAACGCUAUCAGAAGACAAUCAAACAUUUAAUUAGAUUGUUAAUCAUGAUUCUAGAUAUAUUAUCUAUUAAAUUGUGUGUGUUGAGUGAUCAUCUAUUUAAAGAUAGGAAAUCAAACUCAAGCAUGCAUAUUCAUGCUAAAAUAAUGCGGUCUUUUUCAAAGCAAUCAAGAAAAAUUUGGUCAUAAUUUGUGAUCCCAUAUAAUACUAUAUCAAGAUAAACAUUCACUUUGUAAUGUCCAGAUGUUUUGGAAGAAUCUUCAAAAGGAAUGUCAAAAUGAUUGGAGAAUGAUCAAAAGAACAUUAUGGUUGUCCUUUAUUAAAGACAAAGUUAAAACACAUUAGUUUAGGAAGUCCAUUUGUAAGAUAAUAAUGUCAAAUUGACACAUGGGGCUGUUGAGAUUUAAUGAGAACUUAAAUGACUCAAAUUGAGGGCUCAAUUGGUUAAAACAAGCUUCAGAUUGAUCUCAAGAUUGAUGAAUUGUAAGAAAGGACAAAAAGACAUUAAUAAGCCAUACUAGCAUUGCUAUUGCAAAAAGUUAUGUAUGUAUUUGAUCAAGUACAAUACUAACUGACAUUUAACAAGUCAUUCUCACACUCAUUCACGUUACCUUCAGAUUCAAGGUAAAAUGUUCUGGGUUGAUCAUGAAUGUUUUGAAUAGUAAUGCAAACAUGUGGUUACUGUGAUCAAAUCACAUCUCACACUUGGCAAGUGUGUCUAACGACUAUAUUCAACUUUAUUUGAAUUCUCAAGCUUCUUUUCCUCUAUAAAAGAAAAAUCAAUUAGAAGAUGAAGACAAGAGUUUCCAAAGCAAUCAAUCUACAUUUGAUCAAUUAAGCUCAAGUUUCAAAGCUCUUAUCUCAAGCAAAACUCCAGUUCUCUCACUAUAUUCGUGGAUCAUCCUAUUGGAUUUUUGCUGAUGAAUCAAUCUCAAAUCAAGAGUUGAGAAGUCUUAGAUCUCCAACACUUUUUAUCACUAUAUUCGUGGAUCAUCCUUUAUGGACUGAAAAGUGAUUGUAGAGAUUCUUUUUAAGAUUGGAAGGUGAAUGUUGUAAUUGAUCAAAGUGUGAUCAAGAAAGAUAGUACAUAGCAGAAUGUUCUGGUGCUAAAUACAUUGGUGGAAUAUCUCAUAGAUUGUGAGGACUGAAUGUAGUCCACCUCGGGUGAAUUAGGAUACAUCUUUGUGUAAUCUUCUUAUUCCUUCUCUAUAUUUAUCUUGUACUCACUAAUCACAUUUCAGUAACUUAUAAAUUGAACUGUCUUAUUUAAACUAACACAUUUAGAAUAUUAUGGAGUUUUAUUUUAUUUUAACCAAAAUUGUUCUUGGGUUAAUUAAAAUAAAGUGUAUGAUUUGAAAAAGGAUCACAAUUCAAAUUCUUCUUUUUUUGUAAUUGAUAUUGCUACUUCAUAAGUCAAUGAGUGAAGUUAAUAGAGUGAGAGGGAAUCGUGAGAAUAUCGUACAUGGCCCUUCAAAUUGUUUCCCUUACAAAGGAAGAUGAUGGAUGGAUUUUGGCAGGAAACGAUGUUGACAGUUGCGCUAGAACCAUUGUGGAAUGCAUAAAUAUGUUAGAUAUGUUCCACGCUUCAGAUUGUGGAGCGCGAACGAGUCUUAACACUUGUUGUUGUUUUUUAAUGGGCCUUACACACUUCAAAAUUGUGUUUGUUGUGGCCUAAUCCAAAGAAACUAAAUAUAGGAAUUUUAGUUCGAAAGUAUAUCGAAAAUUAUAUUUUCAACUUCUUAAAAAUUUAUAAUUUAUUAUUUUUUUUGACAAAGUUUUUAAUUUUUGUCUCUUAAUAAGUCUCACAGAAUGUCUAGCAUGAUCCUAAAAUAAAUACUCCAUUUUGUUGGCCAAAACCAAUAGGGAGGAGCAUAUAUGGGUGUUUUUCAAUUAAUGAAAAAAGUAUAUGUAUUUAUCACAUGCACACAUUCAAAAGUUAAACACUGAAUGACAUGAUAAAAGUUCCAAAACAUUUACAAUUACUAGAUUUUGUGGGCUUCUUUACGUGGUUGUUACAAACGUUUUUCAUUUUGAAAGAAAAAGUAAUAAAAAGUCCGUUUACUUUUCAUCUAUCAAGACUACUUACAAUAGCAUUUGACAUAGCUAAUGCCGUAAUUAUCCCUUCAAGUUGCUACUUUCGUUAAACGUUUAUCCAAAUUAAGGAAUUUGUUGGUUAUGGGAUCGCAACUACUUUACCUUCUUCCAGAAUAAAGACAACAACCACAUGAUUCAAAGGAUCCUAAUUCAUAAACUCUUUUUUUCAACAAAAGUUAAGGGAGUAAUUGAUUACAAAAGAAGUUAAUAUAACUAACAAAUGUAUAAAAACUUUUAAAAUUACUAUUUUCUUAGAAAUCGUAAGCUCUUUUCAAGACAAAGCUUCUAUUGUUAUAGUUUUUUUUUUUUUUUUAAUUUUUUUUUAUUUUAUUUAAUUUUUUAAUUUUAUUAUUUUAAAAAUAAAAUUUCAAAUAAAAAAUUAAUUUAAAUAAUUUAUUAUGAAGUAUUAUUUUAAGUAUUUCAUUUAUUUAAUACAACUAUUAUUAGAUAAUAAUAUUUAAAAAAAUAAUUAGAAUGAUAAUUUUUUAUAAAAAAAUGUGAUUUUUGUCAUAUUAAAAUAUAUAAUAAUAAAUAUUUAAGUUAUUAAAUAUUAAUUAUUUUUUAAUUUAUAAUAAAAUGAAUCUAAAAUAAUUUUUAUUAUUUUUAAAUAAAUGAUCAUAAUAAUAAUUUUUUAAAAUAUAAAUUUUUUAAAAAAUAAAAAAUAUUAAAAUCGGUAUUUAGAAAAAUACAAUAAAUGGGCACAAUAUUCACAAACUUUAAGUUAAGACAACAAUUUCUUUUCACAGAACUCGUUCUCAAGUCUCACAAUAUAAUAUCCAAAUUUUUAGACAUAAAGUUAGAUAGCAUCUUUUUAGACUUUCAUUUAUAUAUAAGUUAGUGUAAAAAGUUUUAUAAAAUAAAUAAAUUAUUAGCAAUCAUAUAAUAAUUUAAUAGAUAUAAUUGAUUAAAAGUAUAAAAAUCUUUCACAUCAGUAACAUAUAUAAAUUAAAUUAUCUUAAAAAGAAUAAAUAAUUUAGAAAUAAAAAAAUAAUUUAAAAAGGCAUUUCCCACCUCCCAUUGUCAGCACCGGAAGCAAUCGUUUAAUAUUCAUAAAUUCACAACUCAUUUUCUGGUUCGGGUUAAGUUUGUAUCCACUAUCCGUUUUUGUGUUUCCCGUUUCCAUUUCCGUUACCGUUUCAUCUCUCACCACCAGAAUCAAUUCAUUCCUUCACCACCGUCCAUUUACUUUCUUUCUGUUUCCCAUUUUUCCCAAAAAUAAAACAAAAAUUAAAAACAAUUCUUUUUUGUUUUUAAACUUCAAAGAAACCCGAGAUUUCGUCCCUAUAGAAUCUUCACUUCACCCAUUCUUAUAUCAAAAAUCAAACAUAAAAAAAAAACUCUUUCUCUUUUUCUUGUUCUUGUUCAUUUUCUUUUUCAUUCUGAAAAUGGCGACUAGUAUAGGGAUAAUGGAUAGUGCUUACUUUGUCGGUAGGAAUGAGAUUCUCACUUGGAUCAACAAUGGUCUUCAACUUAACCUUUCUCGCAUUGAAGAGGUAACAUAAUCAAAAUGUGGUUUUCUUUUUUAUUCUUAACAUUUUCUGCGUUUUCUAUUAUGCUAUAAUAAUAAUAAUAACCUAAAUAACAUUGCUUUCUACCCCUCCCCAGGGGGAGGGGGGUAUUUGUGUUGGUGAUGCAUUUUAAUAUGAAACCUUUGAUUCCACCUAAAUAGCAUUGCUUUUUACCCCUCUCUCAUAAAGGAGGGUUUAUUUUUAAAUGGUUUUAUUGGAAUAAGAAAACAAGCUUGUUUGGAUUGGGGUCAGUUUGGCGAAAUCCACGGCAGACAUUGUGAUUUGUUGAAGUUCUAAAAUGUAACUUUUGCCAAAAUCCGCAUCAAAUUCACGAAGAAUGCAAAUGUGUUUGGCAUUUAGGGGGGAUUGUUCUUUAGUGUAGACAUGUUGAUUGAAUGUGAAUAAGUUGAUUUGAAACACAAUAGGAUUUGUUUGAUCUGCAUGUUGAUUUUUGGGAGUUCACAUUUUGGACAUUUGAAGAAAUGAUUCAGCGUUUGUGUGAAAACAAAGCUUCAAUGUAUUUUUGGUUCGUAACAUUAUUUUUUAAAUUAGUCUGUGUUGCAUUUUUUAUGAACAGAGUUAAUUAAGCAGAAAAGAUAGACUUUACUCCCCCAGUUAUUACAAGUACAAGUUUUUGUUUAAUGCACCACGUAGCUUGUUUGUUACAGAUUUCCUGGACUCUCGAAGUUGUUUAUUGUAGAAGCAAGCCAUCUCUUAUAUUUCGAUAAAAUUUGCAUUAUAAAUCGUUAUCUGUUAAUUGUUGAAAGUCGAAACUGUCUCAAACAAACACACAAUGUUCGAGACAGUUUGGGCAGUUAAGGACGUCAGAUAAUUAUAUAUCCAACUGUUAAUGUUAAUGGUAGUGUGUUCAAGUUUGAGCAUUCACACAGGAUGCAGCUACCAUUGUUUAUGCAUCAAAUUUCUAGGUUAUUUCGUUAUUAAAAACGGGGGGCACAGUUAUGACUUCAAAGCUGACUAUUAUCUAUGAUGAAAGUAUACUUUCUUGUUCUCAGGCUCAUUAUGCAUAUUCCCUGUGUUUAUUGCUAGGCUGCAUCUGGUGCUGUGCAAUGCCAAAUGAUGGACAUGACGUAUCCAGGGGUUGUGCCAAUGCAUAAGGUUGCAACACAACUUUGCUUUUACUUUCUGUUUUGUCUCUCUUGUGAUAUUUCCUUUUAAUUACAAGCAAUUUUGAAAUUUGGGGUUCACUUUAGGUGAAUUUUGAUGCAAAGACGGAGUAUGAUAUGAUUCAAAAUUAUAAAGUUCUACAGGAAGUGUUCAACAAGCUGAAAAUUGAGAAGGUGUGUUUUUUUCCUUCCCUCCUAAUGUUAAGCUAAACACUUGGAAGAGAGCUUUGCUAUUGUGUAUAUGAAAGCAAGAAAUAACAGUGGGAUGGGGUGGUUCAUUAUAAAUAUUUAUUGUAGUAUGGUAUCAACAUUUCUUCUUUUAGGUUUUAAAAUAUCAUAAUUUAUUUAUAUGCAAGAAAAUCUUAUGUGAAAUAGUAUAAUUAUCAAGAUCUAGAAAUGCUGAUGAAAGAUAAUUUGAUAACUUGAUUCCCGUUCAUGCAUUUGGGCUUAUGUUAUGACAUUCACUUGGGUAAGUGUUUGAAGAGCUUAAAAAAUAGCCUAUAAUAUUCCUAUAAGUUAGCUUAAGCAGAGUUUGUCCCCUAAACUAUUUGAUUGUAAAAGCUUUUGGAAAUAGCUUGUACAAAGCUUAUCCCCAUAAAGUAUUUGAUUGUAGAAACUACUGAUACAUUAACUUUUGUAUGAUAAAUAAGCGCUCACCUAAAACUGUUCCAAACUGUUCAAUAUAUAUAAGCUUUAGUAUGAUAAAUGUUUAGUGAAUAAACCUUCAUCUAAGUUGUUUAUCCAAUGCCCCCUUUGUUCAUGCACAUUCCAUAUUUAAGGAGACUAUUUAUGUUUCCUCUUCCCCAAUUAUACCCUACACUUUCAUCACUAGUGGACUGCAAUUUUUUAGGGUUUUUUCCUUAGGCAGGGAGGUGCUUAAGCCUUCAUAAGAGAUUUGAUGGAGUACAAAGUUGGGGUGUGUUCUUGGUUUGAUGCUCAACAAUACUAGAUAUUUUAAUUUUUAGGCCAUGCUAUCCUAGCUUUAUUGGAUUUGGUUGCAUGUCUUUAAUGUCAGUGUGUGAAAGUUCUUGAUUUUAAAGUGAUUUAUUUUCAUGAUAUAAUAACUUCACUUGAGAAUAAAAACUAGUAUAAGAAAAUACUUUGGCACAAUAAGUAGUUGAUGCUUGCAUUUGUUGAGCUAAUGUGACUACCAUGUGGCAGCAUAUUGAGGUUAGCAGGCUUGUUAAAGGGCGACCUUUGGACAACUUGGAGUUCCUGCAAUGGCUGAAACGUUACUGUGAUUCUGUGAAUGGUGGCAUUAUGAAUGAGUAUGCUACUUGCUCUGUGUUCUUUCUGAUCCUUUAAACAGCUUUGAUUGAUAUUACUUGUAGGAAUACUUUAUUAUAUCAUUGCUAUUAUGAUGUAAUUGCUUGAAUUAUAUAUGUCGAAGUCCAAUGCAUAAUUUUCAUUACUAAUAUUUAAAUUUGCAUAACUAUGUUCUAUCUAUAUCUGUUAUCAAAGCCUUUUUUUUUUCUUCUUUUUUUCUGUAGGAACUAUAAUCCUGUGGAGCGUAGGGUAAAGGGUGGAAAGGACAAAAAUCCUAAGAGUUUAAGGAGCUCAAAGUCACUUCAAUCAAAUGCAAUGAAUAAUUCUGGGUCAAGCGAUGCACUCAGUCCACCUAGAAACUCAGGUUGGCUUAUUGGCAUCUAUGACCCUAAACUGUUGUGCAUUUUUUCCUAAUGGUUGUUUCAUGUUACUCUCCCUUUACUUUUUCCCUUUUUGAUUAAUGUACUUUUGAGUGUAGGACCUAAGCAAUCGAGGUCAAGUGGAGGAUCUGAUGGGGCUAAUUCAUCAGCAGAGAUUCAGGCCUUGUCCAAGCAGGUAUGACUCUGAAAGUUAUACUUGCUGCAACUGCUAUGAUUAUCAAAAUGGCAUACAAGAUAAAACUCCUUUAAGCAUUGAAAUCCAACUGUAAACAUAUUACUUAGAAUAGAAUUAUGAUAGAAUACUGCAAAUUAAGAGGAAUGAGGGCCCAAAGAGUGUGGCCCCACUCACCCAAGUCACACACCCCACACACAUUUAGUUUCUAGAAUGAUGGAUGGAGGGAAUAAAAGCUAGUUAAUAAUGUAUCUUAUUCUACUGAUAUUCUAUUAAAGGAAUGUGGGAAGAUGAAGUGGGAAAGACAUUCAGUUUCAAGAAGGAUGAAUGGAAGGAAUAAAAGCUAGUUAAUAACGUCUGACAAAGUUGAGGCUUUGGAGAUACGAAUGGCUGAGAUGGAAGGUUCGGUGCGUCAAACCUUGGAUGAAUUUCCUCAUGCCAUUUUGACAGAGUUUGCGAAACUGUUGAAUCAGCCUACACCUAGGGUGUCACAGACAAUCAAGCCGCCAAUUACAGAAUACAAGAUGGCGGUGCAGAAGGUGGAGCUGCCGUCAUUUGAUGGUGACGAUCCAGUGGAGUAGAUCAUGCGAGCAGAGACAUAUUUUGAGGUACAGGGAAUAUCUAAAGAAGUGUAGGUUCGUUUGGCGAAAAUUAGCAUGGAGGGAACACCCAUUCAUUGGUUUAAUCUUCUACGUGAAACGGAGGAUGACCUCACAUGGUUAAAGUUGAAGGAAGCGCUGUUUGAGAGAUAUGGAGGAAGAAAGAGCGAUAAUCCAUUCAAAGAAUUGAAAGAUCUUCAACAAACUGGAGAUGUGGAACAGUGCAUUUCAGAUUUUGAAUAUUUCUCUUCCCAGGUUAUGCGACUCCCCGAAGAAAAAUACCUUGGGUAUUUUUUGGGUGGCCACCAAUUAGAGGUACGUUUGCGAGUAAGGACCUUCAAUCCUAAGACACAUGUGGAGGCGAUGAAAUUGGCUCGUGAUGUUGAAAUAGAGUUACGGGGUGUGUUGAAUUACAGAGGAAGCAGAGGUGGAGGUCGUUCGCGAAACUGAAAAGGGGGAAGAGAAGGAAGUAAUGGGCUUACUAAUAGAAACAGGUCCGGACUGGGUCUUUUUCCAGGCUCAAACAAGGGAAAUGCGAGUUUUGGGCCAAGUGGGGGAACCCAAUCCAGAAAUACUCAAAUUGAGUCAAAUCCUAACCCGAAAUUGAGCAUGCAAAGAUCCAACUGGAAUUGGAACCAAACACGAACAAAUGGCGAUGAGGAGCGAUGGAGGAACCACGAAAAUCGAAAUAGGGGAACCAAUCAUCUUCACUAUUCUGAACUAAUGGAUCAUAAGGUGCAAGGCCUCUGUUUUCGAUGUGAGGAAGGUUCCAUCCUCUUCAUCAGUGUGCUGACAAAUAGUUGCGUUUGGUGAUUCUAGGAGAUGAUGAAGUGACAAACGACGCCGGUGAAGUCCUAGCUAUCGAACUGAAAGAAGGGGAGGACAACGCUGCAAUAAUGUGCAACUCCACGAUGCUGUUUGGAAUAGAAGAGAAAGGCAGAGCUCGAAAUUUGUUCCCUUUUCUCCUACAUUUGGAAGGUACCGUGAAGGGCAUACCAGUCACAAUGAUGGUGGACACUGGUGCUAGUCACAAUUUUGUGACUCCUCAAAUGGUUGCAGUUUUGCAACUUCCAGUAGAACAGAUCCCGAUUACGAACGCGAAAUUUGGAAACGGUUCCCAUGUGAUCAUAACAGAGAAGUGUGGGAAGUUUGACGCAAGGUGAGGACAUGAUUUUGGGAGUGGCUUGGCUGCAUAAGCCAGGCAAGGUGUUAUUUGAUUGGGAAGAAGUGGCAAUUUGCUUGGACUGGAAAGGGAAAGCUAUGAAGUUGCAAUGUCAAAAUCCGGAGAAUUGGAGAAUCAAUUAGGAAAAAGAACUUAAUUUUGUUACCACGAAUAUACUAAGGCCAAGAAAAAUCAUAACAUGGGAAGGGAAUAAGGAAACCGUCAGUUGGGAACCUGGAAGUCUACCACUGAAUCAAUGUCUUAAUGUUAGCCUUGAGGACAAGGCUCAUUUUGAAACGGGUGACAAUGAUAGAACACUGCAAAUUAAGAGGAAUGAGGGCCCAAAGAGUGGGCCCCACUCACCCAAGUCACACCCCACACACAUUUAGUUUCUAGAAUGAUGGAUGAAGGGAAUAAAAGCUAGUUAAUAAUGUCUCUCUUAUUCUACUGAUAUUCAAUUACAUGAAUGAGGGAAGGCGAAGUGGGAAAGCAUUUAGUUUCAAGACGGAUGAAUGGAAGGAAUAAAAGCUAGUUAAUAACGUCUCUUAUUUUAUGUUAUAAGAAUGAGAGAAUAGGAAGAGGGGAAGAUAUUCAGAAAAUAUUCUAAGAAAUAAUUAGGGGAAUUCUUUUAGUUAGGAGCAAUUAUGCUCUGAUUUAGGAGUUCUUAGAACUCUUGUUCAGUUUUUCUUUUUGCAUCCUUUCCCGAUCUCGUUAUUGUAAGAAAUACUACUUUGAAUUUUAAGAAAUAAUAUACCUUUUUCUUCCAUUAAAAUUAUGAGUUCUAUCAAAUUCUAUAUUAAUUAAAUAGCUUGAAGUAUGUAUUAUGUUGACAUUAAUGAUUUUCCUGAUGCUAGACCCUUAUACAUGCUUCAAUAUCUGCGUUUUAAGUUUUUCCCUUGAUAUUUAACGAAAGCAUUAUUUACCUUUGUUUUGUUCAUUAUUAUCCUGAUUUUUGUUUCUCAGGUUACUGAUCUCAAAAUCUCGGUGGAUCUCUUGGAAAAGGAAAGAGACUUUUACUUUUCAAAACUACGAGACAUAGAAAUUCUUUGUCAGACAACAGAACUGGAGAAUGAACCUGUAAGAAUUGUGGCAAAGGCUUGCAGUUUAGUUAAUUUUACUUUUACAUUUCAAAACUGAGGUCGUAUAAUGAACGAUUUUCUUUUACCUAAAUUUCCUAAUACCUUCGAUUGUCUCGAAAUUUCCUAAUACCUUCAAUUGCCUAAAUUUCUGAAAGGUCGUUUAAUGAAUGAUUUUCUUCAAUUAGAAAACAUUUGGCUGUGGCAAUGACAUAUAUUGUUCACAGGUUAGGUUUAGUGUAUGCAAUAAGGUGUUUUCUACUUCUACGUCCAUGUCAAUUCGGUGUUUCUCCCUCUUCAAAUACUACAUGGAUUGUAACCGCUAUGUUUCUCAAAAUUGUAUAUGUUUGCUUUGUAUGAUCCAGCUUGAAAAUGUGUUAUGUAUUGGUGUUGAAGAUAGUUACAAUUCUUCAUAUAUAUUUAAAAAUAUAUGAAGAUUUUGUGCCUAGAUCUAGGUUAAUAAUGAAAAUACUCGAUCAUGUUGUGGUUCAUAUAUUAUUUGAAUUUUGACCAUCUAUGGCUGUUAUACUCUUAGCAGUCAUUGAAAAUGAAUUAAAUAAAGAAUGCAUGUGUAAUGUGUUACUACUUUAUGCAGAUAUCUGUAGCAAUUAAGAAGAUUUUGUAUGCUGCUGAUGCAAAAGAGUCAGCAUUAGAUGAAGCACAGGCUUACAUUAGUCAAACUUUGGAUGGUGAUGAAGAUGAAGAUGAACCAGAAACUGAAGCCUGAUUACUCACUCACACAGCUUUUUAGCUAUUUUUUCUCUCCUUGUAAGCCUGGAUGGAUAAUCAGUGGAUAUUUUGGUUAAUUCCAAUAAACAAAGUUCAUUUCAUCAACUAUUUUGAAAAUAUCCCAUUGUAUUUUAGAUGUAUAUUAGGUCGUCUCUGAUGUUUCAAAUUAGCCACUGCCAUGCUUUUUGAAUAAUUACAUGCAUGUCUGUUUCCAUGGUGGGAUUAUUCUCAAUCCUACUGCAAAACCAAACAUAUGCUUAUACGAGGAGGGGAAUGGAAGUCAGUAUUUCAUGAGUCACUUAAUUUUGGCUCUCUUCCAAUAUUUGGGGAGAAAUAAUUUGGAAGAGAUGAGUUUUGAUUUUUUUCAAGUUUUAAAAUAUGUUCAAUAAAUAAUGUUAAAUAAAGAUUAUAAGAAUGAAAAAAGAGUUAAAUAUAUUCAAAAUUUCUAUGAAGAUGAAAAACCGAAAGAGUGAAAUUGCUUAGAUGAUAUGGAUUACAACCGAAAGAUUAAAACAAAAUUACAAGCAACUAUACCACGCCGCACCAUUUGUUUCAAGUGUCGUGAAGAUGAAGAUUACUGUGCAUUUAAAUAGCCCAGCCUUUUCUCACUGAACUAAUCGGAGCCAAACACUCCUGUACCUCAAUCAACGUCCCAAACACAUUAUUCGUCCCUUGAAUAGUGUCUACUUGAUUUAAUUUGACUACAUCCUCCUACUAUGUGUCACAAUGAUAUUUUUUGUUGGUUAGGUUUGCGGGUUUAAAAUAUUAAAUCUGAUAUUUGAAUCAAACAUCAUUGGUUUAAAUAGGUUAGUUUGGGUUAGACCUGAACUUGAAUGG
RNAcentral lists this long non-coding RNA (15770 nucleotides) under Cicer arietinum (chickpea). Its description in RNAcentral is "long non-coding RNA (CARI_LNC001359)". The record is from RNAcentral. Lineage: Eukaryota; Viridiplantae; Streptophyta; Magnoliopsida; Fabales; Fabaceae.